Molecule: transfer RNA, 86 nt
Filed under: Felis catus (domestic cat)
Lineage: Eukaryota; Metazoa; Chordata; Mammalia; Carnivora; Felidae
Rfam family: tRNA
About the family: Transfer RNA (tRNA) molecules are approximately 80 nucleotides in length. Their secondary structure includes four short double-helical elements and three loops (D, anti-codon, and T loops).
Source: Rfam by way of RNAcentral
GCCUGGGUGGCUCAGUUGGUUGAGCAUCUGACUUCAGCUCAGAUCAUGAUCCUGCAGUUUGUGAGUUCAAGCCCCACAUCAGUGCA